UCCCAAUGAUGAGUUGCCAUGCUAAUACUGAGACACCAGGGUAGGGCAGUGUUGCCCUAGUUUGGGUGCCAGUGAGUUUAACAAAACUUCUCACGUGGAGACCUGAGGGGC
This 111-nucleotide small nucleolar RNA is filed under the name Microcebus murinus (gray mouse lemur). The record is from RNAcentral. Lineage: Eukaryota; Metazoa; Chordata; Mammalia; Primates; Cheirogaleidae.